This 253-nucleotide ribosomal RNA is filed under the name uncultured bacterium. RNAcentral's name for it is "partial 16S ribosomal RNA". It matches the Rfam family "Bacterial small subunit ribosomal RNA", at positions 524 to 776 of the family's 1533-position model. The record is from RNAcentral.
UACGGAGGGUGCAAGCGUUGUUCGGAAUUACUGGGCGUAAAGAGCGUGUAGGCGGCUGACCAAGUCCGGUGUGAAAGCCCGGGGCUUACCCCCGGAAGUGCGCUGGAAACUGGUCGGCUAGAGUAUGGGAGAGGGAAGUGGAAUUCCUGGUGUAGCGGUGAAAUGCGUAGAUAUCAGGAGGAACACCGGCGGCGAAGGCGGCUUCCAGGACCAAUAAUGACGUUGAGACGCGAAAGCGUGGGGAGCAAACAGG